RNAcentral lists this long non-coding RNA (1372 nucleotides) under Coffea arabica (coffee). RNAcentral's name for it is "long non-coding RNA (CARA_LNC000553)". Lineage: Eukaryota; Viridiplantae; Streptophyta; Magnoliopsida; Gentianales; Rubiaceae. The record is from RNAcentral.
GAAGUCCGAGAUUGGAUCUGGUAGAAAUUUUGUAGCUGAAGCACAUGGGAGCGAAAAUGCUGAAAUGGAUGACACUCUGGUUGCUGCUGCUGAAGCUAGUGAACCUAAACCUUAUGUGAACUUAGGGACAACUGAAAGUAAAGAUGCUUCUACUAAUAUGGAGAACAUGGCUGGUUUCAGACAGAACAUUGAGGAAGAAGCACCUCAGGCACCUCCAUCCAUGGAAAUAGCUAGUGAAGAUGUUACACCUGCUGAAACUCUUGCAGACAAGUCUGAGGUAGGAUCUGGAAGAGAUGAUGAUGAUGAAGUAAAAGGCAGCAAAAGGGCUGAACUGGUCAAAGUAGUAGUUACAGAUGCUGAAGCUAGUGAACCUCAACCUUGUAUGGAUGCUGGAGCACCUGAAAAUAAAGAUGGUUCUGCUAAUUUGUUGGAGAACAGGGUUAAUUCCAGACAGAGCAGUGAGGACGAGGCAUCCUCAUCGUUGGAAAUAGCUAGUCAGGAUGCUACGCCUGCUGAAUUUCUUGCGGAGAAGUCUGAGAUCGGAUCUGGAGGAGAUUUUGUAGCUGGAGUACAAGGAAGUGGAAGGACUCAACUGGACAAAACUGUUGUUGCAGAUGCUGAAACUAGUGAAACUCAACCUCACACUUAUGGGGAAGCCUCUGAAAGUGAAGAUAGUUCUGCUAGUUUGUUGGACAAAAUAGUUGAUUCCAGACAGAGCAUCGGGGAAGAAGCUUCUUUGUCCUCAGUAAUGGCUAGCCAAGAUGUUACACCUGCUGAAGUUUUUGUGGAGAAUUCUGAGAAUGGAUGUGGUAGAGAAUCUGUAGCUGCUGUACAAGGGACCAGUAGAGCUGAACUGGACAAAACUGUUGUCGCAUAUACUGAAGCUAGUGGACCUCAACCUUGUACAAAUCAGGGAGCAUCUGAAAGUAAAGAUGGUUUACAACAGCUUGUUGAAGAGUACUCGGACAUGGCUAGUGAUAUGUAGUCUUCGCUUCGGACAUGCCACAUUACAAUUCCUGGUUGGUUAUAAUCCAGAUAUUCUUUAGACUUUGGACUUUGUGACUCUAUCCUGAUAUUGAAAGGAGUUUGGCUGGCUUAUCGUUCAAUUUCUUGAAUUUAGAUCUGCUGUGUGGUAUUAUUAGUCUUUAUUUGCUGCCUAUACUAUAGUAGUGAUUCCCAACGAAGAAGAGGGGGAAACAUGAAUUGAAUGUAUAGUUCGCACUUUUAAUGAUCUACUGACUCAUGUACAGUGUUCCGACUUGGAUGUUUAAGUUCAGUUGAAGUGUUCUCCAAUCUUUAUCCGGGUUUGACUUGGAUGUAUAUGCCUCUUCUUUUGUGUCUCACUCGUUGCAUUUCUUGCUCCAUCCUAAUU